AGCAGUAGCCACGGGAAUACAGAGGGUGCGAGCGUUAAUCGGAUUUACUGGGCGUAAAGCGUGCGUAGGCGGCUUCUUAAGUCGGAUGUGAAAUCCCUGAGCUUAACUUAGGAAUUGCAUUCGAUACUGGGAAGCUAGAGUAUGGGAGAGGAUGGUAGAAUUCCAGGUGUAGCGGUGAAAUGCGUAGAGAUCUGGAGGAAUACCGAUGGCGAAGGCAGCCAUCUGGCCUAAUACUGACGCUGAGGUACGAAAGCAUGGGGAGCAAACAGGAUUAGAUACCCCAGUAGUCCCUGUCUCUUAUAA
RNAcentral lists this ribosomal RNA (303 nucleotides) under uncultured bacterium. RNAcentral's name for it is "partial 16S ribosomal RNA". It matches the Rfam family "Bacterial small subunit ribosomal RNA", at positions 507 to 809 of the family's 1533-position model. The record is from RNAcentral.